CUUGAACCAAAUAAAGAAACAGAAAAGUUCAACAAUCUACGUGACCCUGUUUGUGUAGACAGUAACCUUCAAUUUUGAAAUCGAGACGAUACCACCGGAGUUCGCGAGGAAGAGAAAAAAAGAGAAGUUUCUCUAUAAUUUCUAGAAUACUGCAGGUUCAUUUUUACUUUAAAUUGUUCGGAUUAUACAAAGUUCUUGAUUUCAUCGACUGAGAGAAGCUUAGAAGUAUGAAAAGACUUGUGGAGGAAUAUUAACAAUUAGGUACCAUAAACUCGGGCUGAUAAUCCGCCUCAGAUUGUUUCCACUAAUUCCGCUUCGUUUAAAUAGGCGACGGUUUCGGAUUUAUCAUGCUCCAUCUAGAAAUCAACAAUUCCAGUUAAUAAAGUUCAGAGAGGUUUGUUGAAUAUAAACGACGAGUUUAUGGUAAAAAUGAACUGCGCAAACAUAUUUGGAUGUAUAACAAUACUAAUUUUUGGCGUUGGAAGAUUGAGUCAUGAUGUUGCAGGACUUGUAUGUUCGGCGUGUGACGGCGAAAGUUCAUUUGAUUGUACAGAAAGGUGGGGUAAUCUAAAAAAUGUAACCUGCGACACUCCACCAGCAGGUAUGAGAGCAAUUUGCUAUUACAUGGAACACUUGGAUACGGUUACGAAUCGAGUGAAGGCAAUCGGUGGUUGCGAAACGCAAAGUACUGAAAAAAUUUUGGUUUUGACUCCAUUUCCUCCUUGUUGGACCAAACCACUGCGAUUCCAAGUGAAGGAUUGUAGAACAUGCGAUAAGGAUCGUUGUAAUAUACCACCAUUUUACUAAAUCUUGCCAAUGUGGCCAAUGCUAUUUUUAGUGUAAAUAUGUGUUUAAUAAAGCUAUGUCUGUGUCUUGUAAU
Molecule: long non-coding RNA, 880 nt
Organism: Photinus pyralis (common eastern firefly)
Lineage: Eukaryota; Metazoa; Arthropoda; Insecta; Coleoptera; Lampyridae
Exons: 4
Source: RefSeq, a predicted model, not a curated record